CACUAUUAUUAAGUUAAUUUGCAUUGAUAAUAUAAAUACAUCCCUCUAAAAAAAGUUAUAACUUUUUUAAAAUAUCUCUUUUAUAGGUGAACAGGCAAAGACUGUGAAGAGCAUCCUGAAGGACAACAUGCUCCAGAAGCAGAGUAACUCUGUUGGGGUCGUGCGCUGGACACUAUCAGAGAAAGAUAUUCAGGUCCACAGUUCUGCCCCCACCAGCCCCUUCAAGAACAUUAGUGGAUUUUCUACCCGUUCACAGCAAAGGCAACGUCAGCAAGGUCUGAAAGAUCUCCGGAGCUUGGAUGAGUGCAUCAGAUUCAUAAACCACUGGAAGCAACAGGUGGCACAAGUCUGCAAGCUGUCUGAAAAGCAUCCGUGGAUAAAGGAGAGGAUUGAUCAAGAGGAGGAAGAGGACACAAAGAAGGAUAAAGAUCAGAGUGAGGUGGUACAGAAGAGGAUCACGCAGUGGGCCAAAGAGAUACAGAGUGUGUCAGAGAGCUCUGGAAUGUUGGGAGAUGAACUGGCACGGCUAUUGCGUCUCCUGGGACUGAAGAAGAAGAAGCUGGUUUCCCUCAUGCCACUGCUGGAGUUCAUCACUUGGAGUUUGCUGAAAGAAGACAGCAAGGGCAUGGUUCCUCAUCUAUGGCUUGCAGCUAAGCAACGCACCUGGAAAGCUGGUGAGGGAUCUGAAAUCUAACCUUAAAUGAAUAAAGCUGAAAAGUACACCAAUGAAUAU
This 733-nucleotide long non-coding RNA is filed under the name Sinocyclocheilus anshuiensis. RNAcentral describes it as "lncRNA (ENSSANG00000036316.1)". The record is from RNAcentral. Lineage: Eukaryota; Metazoa; Chordata; Actinopteri; Cypriniformes; Cyprinidae.